This 906-nucleotide ribosomal RNA is filed under the name uncultured bacterium. RNAcentral's name for it is "bacterial SSU rRNA". It matches the Rfam family "Bacterial small subunit ribosomal RNA", at positions 8 to 916 of the family's 1533-position model. The record is from RNAcentral.
AGAGUUUGAUCCUGGCUCAGGAUGAACGCUGGCGGCGUGCUUAACACAUGCAAGUCGAACGAAGCACCUUUACAGAAUCUCUUCGGAGAAGACGUAAUUGUGACUUAGUGGCGGAUGGGUGAGUAACGCGUGGGUAACCUGCCUUGUACAGUGGGAUAACAACCGGAAACGGUUGCUAAAACCACAUGAUGUGUAGACAUCGCAUGAUGACUACAUCAAAUAUUUAUAGGUAUGAGAUGGACCCGCGUCUGAUUAGCUAGUUGGUGAGAUAAAAGCUCACCAAGGCGACGAUCAGUAGCCGGCUUGAGAGAGUGACCGGCCACAUUGGGACUGAGACACGGCCCAAACUCCUACGGGAGGCAGCAGUGGGGAAUAUUGCACAAUGGGGGAAACCCUGAUGCAGCGACGCCGCGUGAGUGAAGAAGUAUUUCGGUAUGUAAAGCUCUAUCAGCAGGGAAGAUAAUGACGGUACCUGACUAAGAAGCCCCGGCUAACUACGUGCCAGCAGCCGCGGUAAUACGUAGGGGGCAAGCGUUAUCCGGAAUUAUUGGGCGUAAAGGGUUCGUAGGCGGUAAUGCAUGUCAGCUGUGAAAUCUUGUGGCUUAACCACAUCAAGCAUCUGAAACUGCAUAACUUGAGUGAAGGAGAGGUAAGUGGAAUUCCUAGUGUAGCGGUGAAAUGCGUAGAUAUUAGGAAGAAUACCAGUAGCGAAGGCGACUUACUGGCCUUUAACUGACGCUGAUGAACGAAAGCGUGGGUAGCAAACAGGAUUAGAUACCCUGGUAGUCCACGCCGUAAACGAUGAGUGCUAGGUGUCGGGAGUCAAAUCUCGGUGCCGUAGUUAACGCAAUAAGCACUCCGCCUGGGGAGUACGUGCGCAAGCAUGAAACUCAAAUGAAUUGACGG